GGGCCCGCACAAGCGGUGGAGUAUGUGGUUUAAUUCGAUGAUACGCGAGGAACCUUACCAGGGCUUAAAUGUAGAGCGACAGAGGUGGAAACACCUCCUUCUUCGGACGGUCUACAAGGUGCUGCAUGGUUGUCGUCAGCUCGUGCUGUGAAGUGUCGGGUUAAGUCCCAUAACGAGCGCAACCCCUAUUUCUGAUUGCCAGCGGUUCGGCCGGGGACUCUAGAGAAACUGCCAGCGUAAGCUGUGAGGAAGGUGGGGAUGACGUCAAAUCAUCACGGCCCUUACGUCCUGGGGCCACACACGUGCUACAAUGGAUGGUACAAUGGGCGCCACUACGCGAGUAGGAG
RNAcentral lists this ribosomal RNA (347 nucleotides) under uncultured bacterium. RNAcentral describes it as "bacterial SSU rRNA". It matches the Rfam family "Bacterial small subunit ribosomal RNA", at positions 917 to 1267 of the family's 1533-position model. The record is from RNAcentral.